GGGGGUGCGGGGGGCGUUGCUGUAGAAAGAGGGAUGGGGGAGGGAGGACAAACAAGCAGCACUGCUGAGAAAAACAUAGGCGGCCUCUAUCUCAGUGUGAGGAGACCUUGUGCUGUAGCUGCCACAAAGCAGCAUUUGACCCAAGGCUAUGUUAACAAAGAUACUGCCUUUAGAAUAGGGAGGUGCUCUACAGUGAUCAUUCGUUCAACUGACCUUUGUCAUUGGCCAGACAUAGGACAGAAUGGUUCUGCAUCUGGGGAACACCAUUUAAGUAAAAUCAGAAAAAUCUCUGGUCUUUUGUAGCAUAUGUUCCAGUGGAAAGAGGCGGACUUUAGAUACGCUAUAACCAGAGUAAGGAAGGAAAGUGCUAGAAGGUGGUAAGUGCUGUGAGGCAGGUGAUGCAGGAUGUGGGCAGUGGGUACAGGGAGGGUGGCUAUUGUGCUGGGUGGUCAGUGUGUGCUUUGUUGCAAAGGUGACCUCUGAGGAAGGAUUUGAGGGACGUGAGGAUGUCUGGGGAAGUUAUUUCCAGACAGAGGAACCUCCAGUCCAAAUGCACUAUGGCAGGAAGGUGUCUGUGUUCCCAGAAGAGCAAGGAGGCCAGGAGGGCUGGACAGAGAGAAACUGAGUGGAGUAGAGGCCAGGUAGAGAAUUCAGGAUGUGGCUCUCGCACAAGGAACACCUGUGAAUGCCGCUCUCUGACACCUGCCCACAGACUCAUUUCCCGCUCACUUCUUGGAGCAAACUAUGGAAAACAAAUUUCUGUAAUGUACACAUUAAGUCGUAUAUCUGGUAUUGGGGGCUAGUUUUAUUGUGGGGAAGGCCACAGAAGCAGGCUGGAACCUACACAUCCAGGAACAGAAUCCACAGCCCACCCUGGAUCAGGUCCCUCCUAGAAACAACUGCCCCUGCUGCUGAGCACAGACGCCACUGCUCACACCUCUGACACCUGGUGCUGGACACUGGACCCCGAGGCCAGGACAGAUGUCACUGCUGCACCUGGAAACUGGACAUCACUACUGUCACUCAGCCAUCUUUACUAAAAUGUGUUCUGCACAGUCCCAGCCUCUCUGUCACCUCAUUCUGGCUCAGAGGCUGGCAGUGAUAUAGGAGUUAAGAAGAAAUUAUUUAGACAGGUAGUGAGGGUACGGAAGGCUUUUAAUGAAAAGCAGGCUCCAAACUAUUUUCUUUUCUAACAAGGAGCAGCCUGUAAUAUCAAGCUUCAGACACAGACAAGUAAGCUGGAAGCUUGCACGGGUGAAUGCUGGCAGCUGUGCGAAUAGCAAUCGGACACCUGGGACCGGGCAUGUUCACAAUGGCGACUCCAUCUUCCCUUCUGUUUGCCAGGCUCCUUCCUUACAGUAAGGAGCAGACAACAUGGCCAAGUGGCAAGCCCAUUUGCAUAAUAGGAUGAGGGUGGGGUGAACAGCCUUCCACACACACUGUGUAAAUAUCACACCUGGUCCAACCAACCUGUGGCCCCUACAUAAAUCACACACCAUCUCCUCAAACCUGCCUGUAAAAUCCGAUGCACUCCCAUUCCAUGCCGGAAUUCCCUUUUGGGUGCCCCUCUGUCUCACAAGAAAAGAGCUGUUCCCCUUUGUCUUUCUUUUGCCUAUUCAACUCUUUGCUCCUAAACUCAUUCCUCAUAUGUCAGUGUCCUUCAUCUUCUUGGCAUGAGAUGACAAACCCUUAGUAUUUACCUGAGAAAAUGACACCUCUUCAGCAGGUGGUCAUUGGACUGGUGGAGCUUAAGACUCAUGUCCAUGAUCAACUGCAGGGUGACUGGAAUGUUGUCCUCUUCCAGGGAGGGAGGUGGUUUCUGUCUCCUCUCAACAUUUUACAUGUUGUAAACCAAAAAUAAACAUCAAAGCCACCCACUCCUAACCAUCUUAAUGAACACCCUCAGCCAGGGUGCUCAAAACUUAACCUGAAAGACUGGCUCAAGCCACCAUGAUUAUGCUCUCUUCCCUUUUGGAGUUCAGGAAAAGCUGACCUGCAUUUACCAUCAACACAGACCUUAAAUCUGAUGAGAAACAUUUACAAUCUAUUCUCUCUGAAGCCUGGCACCUGGAGGCGUCAUCUGCAUGAGAAAAUUUUGGACUCUACAACCUCUUAUCAUAACCCAGACAUUUCCUUUCUAUUGAUAUUAACUCAACCAAUUGCCAAUCAGAAAAAUUAAAAAUCUACUUAUAACCCAGAAGCACUACCCCACAACCCUUGCCUGCUUCAAAUUGUUCCAACUUUCUGAACUGAGCCAAUGUAUAGCUUAAAUGUAUUUCAUUGAUGUCGCAUAUCUUUCUAAAAUGUAUAAAACCAACCUGUGCCACAACCACCUUGAGCACAUGUUCUCAGGGUCUCCUGAGGACUGUGUCGUAGGCUGUGGUCACUCAUUUUUGGCUCAGAAUAAAUCUCUUCAAAUAUGUUACCGAGUUUGACUCUUUUCAUUGACAGUGUGGAAUUCUGAUGUAAUAAGAGGGUUCAAGUGCUGGAGUGUGAGGGGUGGGAAAAAGUGACAAAUUUUAAUUCUUGGAGCAGUGAUCCAGGACGAGAACUUUAUCUGGUACCUGGCAGGCAUGCAGAGUGUCUGAAUGAACCAGUGAUUAAUAAAUAACAUGUUUCCACCCAUUCUGUUGAGGGUAGGUUAUUGCAUCAAGCUUUGGUCUAUCCCAGUUCAUACUCUAGAUUAUUGGAGUGGCAUUGUGUGAUAGUGAAAUGAUUACUCAAACAGCUUCCCUUGACUUUGUCUCUUACUAGGAUUAAAACACCCAAGAUUGUAAGAUCUCCGAGGAUCUGGGUCCACACCGAUGUUUUAUAUUAAUAUUUAUAUUUUCUUGUGUGUGGAAAUAUUUCUGGGGAGAGAAUCUCU
This 2866-nucleotide long non-coding RNA is filed under the name Macaca nemestrina (pig-tailed macaque). RNAcentral describes it as "lncRNA (ENSMNEG00000046050.1)". The record is from RNAcentral. Lineage: Eukaryota; Metazoa; Chordata; Mammalia; Primates; Cercopithecidae.